RNA transcript from Polypterus senegalus (gray bichir), 1587 nucleotides. It is a transcript of the gene named duodenase-1-like, with no coding region annotated. Lineage: Eukaryota; Metazoa; Chordata; Cladistia; Polypteriformes; Polypteridae. The record is from RefSeq and is a predicted model, not a curated record. The transcript is spliced from 5 exons.
UCGGAGCCAUGACGACAGUGUACUGGAGCACCAUCAUCAACAUCUGCCUGGCACUGUCAGGUGUAUCUGGACACAGGAUUGUGGAUGGAACAGUGGCUGCCCCUCACAGUCGACCUUAUAUGGUGUUCUUGAUGGGACGCACAGCUAAUGAAACAUUCACAUGUGGAGGAUCCCUCAUUCGUGAGAAUGUUAUCAUGACUGCUGCCCACUGCAAUGCAAAAUCAAUCACUGCUUAUGUUGGUAUUCAUUCAGUGAGUAAAGCAGAAAGAGCAAAUCUUGGAAUACAUGUUGCAGAACAUUUUCCCCAUCCAGAUUUCAAUAAUAAAACCUUGGAAAAUGACAUAAUGCUGCUGAGGACUUGUCACAGUGAUGUCUUACAGGAAUCUGCCAGGACCAGUCAACUGUGCUCAGCCCAGUGACCAACAUUCUCACAGAGGCCUUUCUAUUUUUUUGUUCUCAUACACAAUUGAGUCGAAGAGUGACAUUAAAUGAAACUGUGAGUUUGAUCCCAUAUGCACACAGCAGCUCUCAUGUGUCAGUUGGAACUGCAUGCUCUGUGGCAGGCUGGGGUCAGAUUUCUAAUACGUCAAGAGGAAGUGAUGUGCUGAGAGAGGUGUCUGUGACGAUUAGAGAAAACACACAUUUGGAACUGAAUGCAAGAGGCAACAACAGAGAAGGAGUCUGCAGAGGUGACUCUGGUGGUCCACUGGUGUGCAGAAUUAAAAAGGUCAACACGGCUGUGGGAGUUGUGUCUUGGGGGAGUCCAAAUAAUUGUAACUAUCAAAUGCGCUUGAAUAUUUACACAAAGGUUUCUGCUUACUACAAGUGGAUCAUCGCCACUUUAAAGAUAAUCCCCCAGUAAAUCUCACACUGAUCUUUGGUUCAGUGGAUGGCUCUUCAAGCUGGGGACAGCUCCUCUGAUGAUUUCUUCCCCAAAAUAGCAUUUUCUUAACAUUUCAGCUUUGAGUGAAGCAACACUCCUGACUCAGGAAGGGGGCUGCCAUUGUAAACAGAUCCAUGAUACGACUUCUAACCACAAGGCAGUUUCACUUCCAUUCCAAUGCCUGCUUUGCACCUAAAGAAAUGCCUUGUGCUCAUGUCAGGUUAACUCAAUACUAUCUUUUUUAUCACGACUGUCAUGGCAUUUCUGCUGACACUCCCCUCACAUCUCUCUUUAUUAGUAGAAAUCUUUCCUGCACCAGUUUGCACCUUUGCCCCUACCCACAUACUUUUAAAUUUGGUUUCUAAAAUAUUCUUGGUCGACCGUCUGAUGCUGGUAUUCAUAUUCACAGUUGUUUUCUUCCCCCACUCCAUCAUCUCCUUGCUGCAUUAUGCUGUUGUGACAACAUGAAGGUCACUUAGAGUGGCAAAAGGUGCAUAAGGGAUCUUCAUACAGCACAACAAUAUAUAUAAACAUGAAUGUAGCAGCGAAUUUUGGAACAUAAAUUUCAAAACUUGUCAUAAGGCUGUUUUGCCAUAUCCUAUAGGCAAAUGGCUUCUCAUCACUUGCUGUGCCUCUGGUGCUGUGAUUUCAGAUUUCAGAUGUGAGUUUGAAUGGGAUUGUUCUCUACUGAAGCUUGUUUUACA